Paramormyrops kingsleyae is the source of this 796-nucleotide long non-coding RNA. RefSeq lists it as uncharacterized. The record is from RefSeq and is a predicted model, not a curated record. NCBI's taxonomy places the organism in Eukaryota, Metazoa, Chordata, Actinopteri, Osteoglossiformes, Mormyridae.
GCGGCGAGAGCGCUUUCUCGCAGAGCGCGUCCACGAAUGCGCGUCCACGGUUGGCAGCUCCACGUCGACAUUCUUCCAGCUGCAGGCUGCUCUGCACGGAGGAGUAGUAAUAUGCGAAGGUAGGCUCCAGUGGCGGAAAAGCACCUCAUGAUCACUUCGCGGCGGGACACAGCAAGGCCGACGGCCGCAAAAUGAUGUGACAAAGUGCGCAUUUCGGCAAUCAGCGCUGCAGUGUUUUCAGACCAUAUUUUUCCAUUUUAUGAUCGCUUUCAUCUCGAGCUGGACUGCAGCUGGCUUCAUAGCUAACUGCUCCCCUACUUGUACCAGGCUGCUCUCUGGUGUGAUGGUGAAAGAGGCCUCAGUGGAGGAAUUCCUGCUUGCACUGCGGCUUUCCGAGUAAAGUUCUGUAAUACACUUAGACUCUUAACUGCUCGCAGUCAGUGCAUUACAGAACUUUGUUUUGGGAGUUAAUCCUCUGACUGGACGGACCCAAACCUUUCCCACAGCUGGACGGUGGGUGGGAUGAUGUCAAAAUGCACCGCUGUCACGUUUCCCUCAAGCAGAACUUUGCCCAGCUCUCACACAAUUCCAAGCAUUCAGUGAGACUUCUUAUUUGCCGUAAUAUUUUGUUAAAUUCACCCAAUAUUCUCGCAGUAUGGGAAUCGCAUGACUGUAGCCAGGUGGCAUUAUUCGGGAAAAGACAUGUUCAUUUUAUACUGAUCUCCUGUACGGAUUUUACUUUAACUUGCAUUUUGUAUGAGCCAUGUUUUAUUCAAAUAAAAAACAUUCACUUGUG